GAGCGGCGGACGGGUGAGUAAUGCCUAGGAAUCUGCCUGGUAGUGGGGGAUAACGUUCGGAAACGGACGCUAAUACCGCAUACGUCCUACGGGAGAAAGCAGGGGACCUUCGGGCCUUGCGCUAUCAGAUGAGCCUAGGUCGGAUUAGCUAGUUGGUGAGGUAAUGGCUCACCAAGGCGACGAUCCGUAACUGGUCUGAGAGGAUGAUCAGUCACACUGGAACUGAGACACGGUCCAGACUCCUACGGGAGGCAGCAGUGGGGAAUAUUGGACAAUGGGCGAAAGCCUGAUCCAGCCAUGCCGCGUGUGUGAAGAAGGUCUUCGGAUUGUAAAGCACUUUAAGUUGGGAGGAAGGGUUGUAGAUUAAUACUCUGCAAUUUUGACGUUACCGACAGAAUAAGCACCGGCUAACUCUGUGCCAGCAGCCGCGGUAAUACAGAGGGUGCAAGCGUUAAUCGGAAUUACUGGGCGUAAAGCGCGCGUAGGUGGUUUGUUAAGUUGGAUGUGAAAUCCCCGGGCUCAACCUGGGAACUGCAUUCAAAACUGACUGACUAGAGUAUGGUAGAGGGUGGUGGAAUUUCCUGUGUAGCGGUGAAAUGCGUAGAUAUAGGAAGGAACACCAGUGGCGAAGGCGACCACCUGGACUAAUACUGACACUGAGGUGCGAAAGCGU
Molecule: ribosomal RNA, 673 nt
Filed under: bacterium YN09B-2
Lineage: Bacteria
Description: bacterial SSU rRNA
Rfam family: Bacterial small subunit ribosomal RNA
Source: RNAcentral